UCCCCGCUGCUAGGAGAGAACCCUGCUGCGCGUGUCAACACGGGUAAAACGGGUCGCCGAAGGCGCAGGGUGGUUUGCCAUCCGAACGCUCAGGCAAAAGGACUGGCAACACCUU
This 115-nucleotide non-coding RNA is filed under the name Aquabacterium sp. CECT 9606. RNAcentral's name for it is "Glycine". It matches the Rfam family "Glycine riboswitch aptamer". Rfam says of the family: This family represents the bacterial glycine riboswitch. The record is from RNAcentral. Lineage: Bacteria; Pseudomonadati; Pseudomonadota; Betaproteobacteria; Burkholderiales; Sphaerotilaceae.